Molecule: ribosomal RNA, 252 nt
Filed under: uncultured bacterium
Lineage: Bacteria
Description: partial 16S ribosomal RNA
Rfam family: Bacterial small subunit ribosomal RNA
Source: RNAcentral
UACGUAGGGGGCAAGCGUUGUCCGGAUUUAUUGGGCGUAAAGAGCUCGUAGGCGGUUUGUCGCGUCUGCUGUGAAAACUCGGGGCUUAACUCCGGGCCUGCAGUGGGUACGGGCAGACUAGAGUGCGGUAGGGGAGACUGGAAUUCCUGGUGUAGCGGUGAAAUGCGCAGAUAUCAGGAGGAACACCGGUGGCGAAGGCGGGUCUCUGGGCCGUAACUGACGCUGAGGAGCGAAAGCGUGGGAGCGAACAGG